RNAcentral lists this ribosomal RNA (465 nucleotides) under uncultured bacterium. Its description in RNAcentral is "partial 16S ribosomal RNA". It matches the Rfam family "Bacterial small subunit ribosomal RNA", at positions 28 to 507 of the family's 1533-position model. The record is from RNAcentral.
GACGAACGCUGGCGGCGUGCCUAAUACAUGCAAGUCGAACGCAAAGUCCCUGCUUGCACUUUCUUCGCCUGACGAACGGGGGUGUAACCCGUGGGUUAACUCCCCUGCACCUUGGCUUAAGCCUGGGAAACUGUGUUUAAUACCGUAUAGAAGCCCUUUUUAUUGUGAUUGUUGGAAAGUUUUUUCGGUGUAGGGUUAGAUGGCGGCCUAUCAGUUGGUUGGGGGGGGAAUGGCCUACAAGGGCGGCUACGGGUUGCCGGCCUGGGAGGGUGGACGGCCACAAUGGGACUGAGAGACGGCGCAGACGCCUACGGGAGGCAGCAGUGGGGAAUAUGGCACAAGGAGCGCAAGCCAGAGGCAGAGACGCCGGGGGGGGGAUGACGGCCUUCGGGUUGAAAACUCGUUUCGCUAGGGACGAAGCUUUUUGUGACGGUACCUAGAGAAGAAGCACCGGCUAACUACGUG